AGAUAAAGGAGUAACAAAUUGUAGUAUUUUUUACUUAUGCACUAUAUUGUUCCAGAUACGGGUUAAAAUCUAAGCAGAUAUUGAUUUCAUGUUUGGCCCAUCUAACACUUGACGGACAACGCAAACUUAGGUAGGAGUUACUAGGUCCUACCUAGGAGUUACUCGAUCCUACCUAGCAGUUACUAGGUCCUAUUAAGGAGUUACUCGGUCCUAACUAGGAGUUACUAAGUUGUACGUUGAAGUUACUAAAUCGUAGUACGAGAUAGUAAGACGUGCGUUGUCCCCAGGUAUUGUCAUACGUAGGAAUUAGUAAAUUCUACGUAUAACUUACUACAAAUCCCUGUGCUGGCACCGUGACGCUUUCACGGAAACCUGUGCCAUAAUUUUGCAGUGCCUAUCAUCGGUUAGACGAACAAAACAUUAAAUCAUUAUUAUGCUACGGUGUUUAAACGUGCCUGAACCAAAGUGCAAAAUAUAGGACAUUUUUCACAAUAAAGCAGCAAAAGGAUUUUUGUACUUAUCAUUACCGUUCCCGGGCAAACAACGGUUACUAUGCUAUUUUUCAAAGCAUAUACAGGUAUGGAAGGAGAAUCUGUCACUUGCAGGUGUACCGGACGCAGACAGUUCUGUAAAUCUCAUUGUUGCCCAUGUACUGGGAUCGAAAAUGAAAAAUGUGACCGAUAUGAAUUUUAUUCCUUCUGAAUGUACACAAAGAAAAAUAGAAGAAAUGUGUAAGGAGAGAAUGAAAAGGAAACCAGUGCAGUAUAUCAUCGGUGAAUGGACUUUUCAUGAUAUGACACUGGAGAUGAGACCGCCGGUUUUUAUUCCACGACGGACAACAGAGGCAAUUACAAUUUGUAACUAAGCGCAUAUUUCAGUAAAUUCAACUGUGUUCUUAGGACUUCGCAAGCAUUAUAGUGAAGGUCAUUGGAGCAUGAACAGACAGGGAGAUUUCUAGAGAUUGGCUGUGGAACGGGAGCAGUGUCUCUUUAUAUACUUAGAAAAUUGCCAAAUGUAAAAUGUGUUGUGGUGGAUAAAAAUGAAACUGACUGUAAAUUAACCGUCGCCAAUGCAACACGAUAUAAUCUAGAAGAAAGAAUACACGUCAUCCAUGGAGAUAUAUUACAAGUUGUCAACGAAAGGUCGGAUGUAGUACUAUUUUGCGAAUCUAAACUUUCUACGGUAUGUUUUCAUAAACUUUGUUUAUAAUUUUAUUAAACUUAUGAAUAUGAAAGGUUAGAAAACGAGUAUUUCGUGAUAAAAUCAGUUUCUAACAAGAGUCAGUACGCAAAUGUUUGGGCUGACUCUGAUUAGGUUAACAAAUGGAGCCAAUAAAAUAUAUAAGAAGAUCAUUUGGAAACAUCGAACGGAACCAAGUAAAAUAAUAGCAGACUCGGCUUGACAUGAACAACAACACCCAAUCAAGCUCCCAAGCAACAGCUUGAGCGGAAGUCUAUUAACACAGACAUUAAAUGACCAUCGGAAAAUAAAUACAGUGGCAGUAAUAUCAGGGUAGCCAGAACUAACCUUUUUCUUACAUGUUAUACAUUAUUACUGUAAACUUGUUCUGUGAAAUGUAUAAAUAGAUAUUUUUGUCAAUUUAGAAAUAAUCCUAGUUUUUAAUGCAACUGACCGGCCUUCUAGGUAUGAGGAUCUUGAUGCGAUAUAUGCUGGUACUGAUGGUCUAGAUAUUAUUCGGAGGAUACUUGCUAUAUCACACACUCUCCUAUAUGAUAACCUAAGGUACGUGUCCAGAUUCUGGUUUGUUCCAUUAGCUUGUUCGGUCAAGUGUUAUUAAUUAUUUCGUACCGGAAGCAUUUUUUUAUGAAAUGUUUUAUUAAAACUUAAUACAAAUGCUAAACCAUAAUGCUUAACCAUCAUUCGGUAAUGUGUGUAAAGAAACAAAAUUUUUGCUCCGAUAUGGCUCAAUCUUGAUUUUUUUUAGAUAUAUGUUACACUUUGUAAUGUCGAAAUCUCCAUACUCUUGUAGGGAUAUAUCCGGGUUAUCGUAAGAUAUAAGCUAUAAGAAGAGAACAUAGUUUAUGGUUUAUUGAUAUUGUUUUAUUUAAGUGUAUGCUGGUAGGUACUUCUACUUGACUGAGUUUCUUUGGACGACGACAUACCUUACAAUAAGUUACGCCUACUUGAAAGAAAGAAUUUGAUUUUUAAGGGAGUGAACUCGUGACCUAUAUCCCAUUUAGCGACAGGCUGCUUUGUCUGGAGACAUCUUGUCCUAUAAAAGCAUAUACAUGUGCAAGGAAUCUGUAGUCAAAGCUCCAGGCUCAUUUUCUGGUGGUCUGUCCCCCAAUCAUUUUAUAAUAUUAGAGUCAACUCGAUUAUGGGGGGAGCUUUACGCUUGAAUGAAUGACUUUCCGGAACACCAUUUAAUAGUGGUGUCAUAUAAGAGGUAAAGAAGACUUGACCCUAGCUGGGUUCGAAUGCCCAAUUUAUAGGUUUAGUCACAGCCACAAGACCAGAAAUAAAAUGACAAAAAUCAUGAUAUUCUACCCUAUGCACGGUAUGAAAGACAUGCCCACGAAUAGGGAAACUUCAUUCGCGCAUUUCCGACCAUAAACGCGUAGUUCAGUAAAUAUUGAAGAAUUGAUAAUUUAUCUUCAGUUAAAAUUAUUUCAACCAAUAAUGUCCUAUCGUGUAGGGAUCACGUUUUCUCAAUGUUUCUUAUCAGUGAGACAUUUAACAUGUUUCUAUGUUUUCAUCAACGUUACAGACUUUUUGCACAAGGUCCUCUAGUAAACUUCCGGGAAAUGUUCGAUUGAAAAUGGCUUGUAUAUUUCCCGUUUAUGACCUUGUUUGUCAUUCCAUACACGGGGGUUGGGUACUAUGUACAAUAACAUUUUAUUUUAGGUCUGGUGACAGUUGGCUUACCGGCGACACUUAAUCCACCACUACAUUUUCUGCUUGACUUUCACGGGUAAUAAACCAAGCUGAUGUUGACAUGUCAAUGUCUGUGCUGUAUUAUAUAAUAACUGAAUUGUUUUGUGGUGUACUUGCCUUUAAGCCACCUGUUUUUCUU
Long non-coding RNA from Mercenaria mercenaria, 3034 nucleotides. RefSeq lists it as uncharacterized. The record is from RefSeq and is a predicted model, not a curated record. The transcript has 7 exons. Lineage: Eukaryota; Metazoa; Mollusca; Bivalvia; Venerida; Veneridae.